GGUUAAGCGACUAAGCGUACACGGUGGAUGCCCUGGCAGUCAGAGGCGAUGAAGGGCGUGCUAAUCUGCGAUAAGCGCCGGUAAGGUGAUAUGAACCGUUAUAACCGGCGAUACCCGAAUGGGGAAACCCAGUGUGAUUCGUCACACUAUCAUUAACUGAAUCCAUAGGUUAAUGAGGCGAACCGGGGGAACUGAAACAUCUAAGUACCCCGAGGAAAAGAAAUCAACCGAGAUUCCCCCAGUAGCGGCGAGCGAACGGGGAGGAGCCCAGAGCCUGAAUCAGCAUGUGUGUUAGUGGAAGCGUCUGGAAAGGCGCGCGAUACAGGGUGACAGCCCCGUACACAAAAGCGCAUGUGCUGUGAGCUCGAUGAGUAGGGCGGGACACGUGGUAUCCUGUCUGAAUAUGGGGGGACCAUCCUCCAAGGCUAAAUACUCCUGACUGACCGAUAGUGAACCAGUACCGUGAGGGAAAGGCGAAAAGAACCCCGGCGAGGGGAGUGAAAAAGAACCUGAAAUCGUGUACGUACAAGCAGUGGGAGCACAGGUUUACCUGUGUGACUGCGUACCUUUUGUAUAAUGGGUCAGCGACUUAUAUUCUGUAGCAAGGUUAACCGAAUAGGGGAGCCGGAGGGAAACCGAGUCUUAAUUGGGCGUUAAGUUGCAGGGUAUAGACCCGAAACCCGGUGAUCUAGCCAUGGGCAGGUUGAAGGUUGGGUAACACUAACUGGAGGACCGAACCGACUAAUGUUGAAAAAUUAGCGGAUGACCUGUGGCUGGGGGUGAAAGGCCAAUCAAACCGGGAGAUAGCUGGUUCUCCCCGAAAGCUAUUUAGGUAGCGCCUCGUGAAUUCAUCUCCGGGGGUAGAGCACUGUUUCGGCUAGGGGGCCAUCCCGGCUUACCAACCCGAUGCAAACUGCGAAUACCGGAGAAUGUUAUCACGGGAGACACACGGCGGGUGCUAACGUCCGUCGUGAAGAGGGAAACAACCCAGACCGCCAGCUAAGGUCCCAAAGUCAUGGUUAAGUGGGAAACGAUGUGGGAAGGCCCAGACAGCCAGGAUGUUGGCUUAGAAGCAGCCAUCAUUUAAAGAAAGCGUAAUAGCUCACUGGUCGAGUCGGCCUGCGCGGAAGAUGUAACGGGGCUAAACCAUGCACCGAAGCUGCGGCAGCGACGCUUAUGCGUUGUUGGGUAGGGGAGCGUUCUGUAAGCCUGUGAAGGUGGCCUGUGAGGGUUGCUGGAGGUAUCAGAAGUGCGAAUGCUGACAUAAGUAACGAUAAAGCGGGUGAAAAGCCCGCUCGCCGGAAGACCAAGGGUUCCUGUCCAACGUUAAUCGGGGCAGGGUGAGUCGACCCCUAAGGCGAGGCCGAAAGGCGUAGUCGAUGGGAAACGGGUUAAUAUUCCCGUACUUGGUGUUACUGCGGGGGGACGGAGAAGGCUAUGUUGGCCGGGCGACGGUUGCCCCGGUUUAAGCGUGUAGGUGUGUGUUCCAGGUAAAUCCGGUUCACUUUAACACUGAGGCGUGAUGACGAGGCACUACGGUGCUGAAGUAACAAAUGCCCUGCUUCCAGGAAAAGCCUCUAAGCAUCAGGUAACAUCAAAUCGUACCCCAAACCGACACAGGUGGUCAGGUAGAGAAUACCAAGGCGCUUGAGAGAACUCGGGUGAAGGAACUAGGCAAAAUGGUGCCGUAACUUCGGGAGAAGGCACGCUGACACGUAGGUGAAGUGAUUUACUCACGGAGCUGAAGUCAGUCGAAGAUACCAGCUGGCUGCAACUGUUUAUUAAAAACACAGCACUGUGCAAACACGAAAGUGGACGUAUACGGUGUGACGCCUGCCCGGUGCCGGAAGGUUAAUUGAUGGGGUCAGCGCAAGCGAAGCUCCUGAUCGAAGCCCCGGUAAACGGCGGCCGUAACUAUAACGGUCCUAAGGUAGCGAAAUUCCUUGUCGGGUAAGUUCCGACCUGCACGAAUGGCGUAAUGAUGGCCAGGCUGUCUCCACCCGAGACUCAGUGAAAUUGAACUCGCUGUGAAGAUGCAGUGUACCCGCGGCAAGACGGAAAGACCCCGUGAACCUUUACUAUAGCUUGACACUGAACAUUGAGCCUUGAUGUGUAGGAUAGGUGGGAGGCUUUGAAGUGUGGACGCCAGUCUGCAUGGAGCCGACCUUGAAAUACCACCCUUUAAUGUUUGAUGUUCUAACGUGGACCCGUUACCCGGGUUGCGGACAGUGUCUGGUGGGUAGUUUGACUGGGGCGGUCUCCUCCUAAAGAGUAACGGAGGAGCACGAAGGUUGGCUAAUCCUGGUCGGACAUCAGGAGGUUAGUGCAAUGGCAUAAGCCAGCUUGACUGCGAGCGUGACGGCGCGAGCAGGUGCGAAAGCAGGUCAUAGUGAUCCGGUGGUUCUGAAUGGAAGGGCCAUCGCUCAACGGAUAAAAGGUACUCCGGGGAUAACAGGCUGAUACCGCCCAAGAGUUCAUAUCGACGGCGGUGUUUGGCACCUCGAUGUCGGCUCAUCACAUCCUGGGGCUGAAGUAGGUCCCAAGGGUAUGGCUGUUCGCCAUUUAAAGUGGUACGCGAGCUGGGUUUAGAACGUCGUGAGACAGUUCGGUCCCUAUCUGCCGUGGGCGCUGGAGAACUGAGGGGGCUGCUCCUAGUACGAGAGGACCGGAGUGGACGCAUCACUGGUGUUCGGGUUGUCAUGCCAAUGGCACUGCCCGGUAGCUAAAUGCGGAAGAGAUAAGUGCUGAAAGCAUCUAAGCACGAAACUUGCCCCGAGAUGAGUUCUCCCUGAGACUUAAAGUCUCCUGAAGGAACGUUGAAGACGACGACGUUGAUAGGCCGGGUGUGUAAGCGCAGCGAUGCGUUGAGCUAACCGGUACUAAUGAACCGUGAGGCUUAACCCU
RNAcentral lists this ribosomal RNA (2904 nucleotides) under Salmonella enterica subsp. enterica serovar Dublin. RNAcentral's name for it is "23S ribosomal RNA". It matches the Rfam family "Bacterial large subunit ribosomal RNA". The record is from RNAcentral. Lineage: Bacteria; Pseudomonadati; Pseudomonadota; Gammaproteobacteria; Enterobacterales; Enterobacteriaceae.